AUUCAGCUAUCUGAAACUAGGCAAUGGUAGAUAAAAAUAUCAUAAGAUAAUGUUGAUGUCUUAUGAGAUGGGAGAGAUGGAAUUUGGAUUGUUUCUAUUUAGAAUCUAGGAUUUGGGUGCGGAAUGCCAAGCAUGGGAUACUAAAGUGUGUAGGGUGUUUUGUCACACAAAGGCGAGAUUCGAUCUAUGUGGUUAAUGGAGGCUAGAAUUAUUGGGUUCUGAAGGGCUGCAUGGUUCCGCGUACAACCUAGUGGCCAUUUAGAUGGGUGUGGUUUAAGUGGAGUUUUAAUGGGUGUAGUUUUGUGAGGUUAGAAAUAGGGAUGGGUUUAAAUAUGAAGCCUGUACAAGGUCUUAAUUGUGUGGCAACUAGUUUUCUAUAUAGCGAUUGUUGGACGACAGAGAGAUCCAUGCAUGUAUGGUGUGGAUAGCAGCAUGAAGGUGUUAAGGGUGCCAUUAGUGGCAGCAAAAUUGUCCGUGGAGAGAGGGUGGCACCACUUACAGCAGUGUAAUUGUACCUAGACAGAUUUAUUUAUCAUACACCUACAGCAAUUUGCGAAAAAAAAAGCAGACUUCUAAUAAAUGGGAUGUAGGCUUGAUUUUGCCUGUGGUAGUGAUGUUUGAGCUGCUAAGGUGUUUUAGUAGUUUGUUUACUGGGCAUGUUGCUUCACGGUGCUCAAGUCUUCAUGGAAUCUUGGUAUGGUUUGUACAUCCAAGUGCGUGAUUAAACCUAUAAUAUCCUUCUCAUCAGAGUAUCUUCAAUCUCCGCAAAGGGAGGAAUUGCUAGAUCCACUCUAGGCCAAGGUAUGCCUGCCUAUCAUGCUAACAUUUAGUAAUUGAGCCUGGAUUAUUCUAGGUUUGGCUGAACAGAAAUUGGAAUCAGGGGAGACUUCAUUGAGCUACCAUUCAAUCUCCGUGAACAGACAACAAAUUUGCUGCGGUCUGUCUGUUUAUGUAAAUUUUAUCCUGCCCUAAUGUGCAUGUAAAAAUACAAUGAGCUUCUAGUUAUGGUGUGGGAUAUAGCACUCCUAGAAAGUGAAUAUUGUGUUCCAAUCUAUUUUUCUUACAAUUUGGAACCUUGUCAAAUUUUAUCAUCAUCAGCAUCCCACAGGAUCAAGUUCAGCAUCCUCAUAUCUGGCAUCAGCGACAUCCUUAUGAACUAAUAAUAGUUCUGUGCC
RNAcentral lists this long non-coding RNA (1175 nucleotides) under Phoenix dactylifera (date palm). RNAcentral describes it as "long non-coding RNA (PDAC_LNC015269)". The record is from RNAcentral. Lineage: Eukaryota; Viridiplantae; Streptophyta; Magnoliopsida; Arecales; Arecaceae.